UGGUCGUACAGGAAAGGGCAGGGGCGACUCCCCACUCUUCAAAACCCUAGAAACUUCACUAAUCUUGCAAAUUGAAGGUCCAAUUCAGUCCAAAAUCGAAAUUUAAGCAUGGAUUAUUGAUCCUCAUCACAAGAGGAUUAAAAGUUUGACUCUGACAAGCUAGGUAGGAGCUUGGAAAUGAACGGGUCAAAUGGAUACAAGUUCAAGUAUGAAGCUCGCAAGGAUGCAAGGUAAGUAUAACUUACACUAGUCAUAUAUUUUAAAAUGUUCUUUUGUCAUAUUGACUACGAAUAAGACAAAUGGUAAUUUAGUCACACGUUGACAAUAAUCGUUAGUUUUAAAAGACGCUUUCCCGCGAAAGACAUAAAGAGCCGAAAAUGGUAAUAAACGGUUUAUAAAUAAAAUGAGCAUACGGUGUUAAAAGGAGCGAGUCAUGUAGAUGAGAUGAUAAUAAAUAUUAUCUCGCAAAGAUAAACGGUCAAUUCGGCCAAACGGGUCAAAAGGUGUAGACAUCACCUUUUGACGAUAUCGACUAAUGAUUCUGGUGUCGAGUUAUAUGUUUACAGGAGUAGAUAUCCAAUGGAUACUCGCAUCGCUCUUAAUUAGCAAUUAUAAAGCAAGGUAUUAAACCGGGUUAGUAAGUUGAUCCGAGCCAGGUAUGUAUAAUAGAUUAACUUAUCAUGUAGAACUUGAAGUUCUAUGAAAGUUAGGCAAAAUAAAAAAAAAGGCAUUCGGUUACCUUAAUAGGUAAACCGAAGGAUUUAAAUUAUUUAGACAGAAUGUUUUGAAAACAAGAUUUGGUUAAAAAUGAGAAAUUAGAAUCAAACAACAGGUUUGUUUGAUAAAUCACGAACGGGUCAAAUUUGGUAAAAAGGGUUAAUAAGCCGAAGACUUAAAAGUCUUAAAAUUUUGUUAAUCCAGAUGUUGGGUCUUGACUCCAUUUGAUGGAGGUUCAAUUUACAAUCACGUAGGAAGAAACGGUAGGUCAAACAGACGAGCGGUUUGAAAGAUACGAAAGUUUUCGUGUCAAAAACGGCAAAAAGGAAAGGAAUGAUGCAGGGGCCACCGUAACUUACGGUGCCACCGUAAGUUACGGUGGACAUGAUUUGGUUACGGUAAAUGCCUACUGUUGUACGGUUGAAUAAUUGAAACACAGAGACCACGGUAACUUACGGUGCCACCGUAAGUUACGGUGGAGGUCAGAAAUGAGUUUUUAUUUUGGGUUUAAGAUAUCCAUGUGGGAUUUUCCUAAUUUCCCCAUUGUAUUAGUUUAAUUAAUUAUCAAAAACUGACCUUUAAGUUGGUUUUGAUCACAGGUGAAUGUCGAGGGUCCCGGAUGAAGAUCGAGCAUCGAGCAAGAACCGAACACACACUAAAUAAAGCUUCCGCAACGUUGUUUUGUCGUUAUUCUAAACGGUGAUUUAAAUCACAUUAUGUAUAUCACUUAAAUUGUAAAAGUUUUUAAUAAACCCGCAUUUUGUACAGUAUGUGUGGUCUUAACUACACAUCUAAUUGUGGUAUUUUCAUGUAAAAUUGUAAUUUAGUAACUAGGGUGUUACAAGUUGGUAAUCAGAGCUCAUGGUUAAAGAUUAAGGUGUGUUCGGUUCGAGGCUUGAUCGCAAAUCCGGUAAGUACGUAUAUGUUAAUAGCUUAGCAUGCUAAAGUGUUGUAAACAACACAUAGGGCUAUCGUGUGAUACACGUUACCCCAAUUAAAAUGAUUAAUAUGGUUGACGAAAAUACGCGCGUUGACGCGUAUAGUAAAAAAAAAAAAAAAAAAAAAAAGCCUUAUAUUAUAAUACGGGCGAUUAUUGAAGUUGAAAUUACUAACUCUUGUGAAUGUUUUAAUUGAAGGACACUCGCGUCUGAAGAUGACGAGAGUUGAACAAAUUGCGGAUAUGAUGAUGGAACGGUCCGAGAUGUGACAAGAAGAGCAUACUCAUCAAGGACCUAAAUCGCGUAACGAUCGCAAAUAAGUAAUGGCAAGGAAUGCCCGUCGGGGCAAGCAUUACCAGGUGCACAUUUUAAACUUAUAGUACAAAAAGUAAUAUGCAACAAAUACAUAGUGAAUGACAGUUGCAUAUAGAAUAUGAAACUUGGAAAACCUGGAUAGGUUACCUAUCCAGGAUGACGUUUCCAAGAGAAAUUCAGUAGAGAAUAUGUAUUAUUCACAAAUUGUGAAUAACAAGACAAUAACAAAAUUCAGUUUAUAUAGAAACUUGGACGAGAGUGAUCAUCCAAGUAAGUAUUCUCAAUAUAAAUCCUAUUGAGAAAAGUAAUGAUCACAUCAACAAAUGUGAAUAAAUGUUUAUAAAAAGGGACAUUUUACAUGUUCAAGGAUAAACGACUAAAACUAAUAAUUGUUAACUAACAAUUAAAUAAAGUUUUACCAAAUGAAAUCAUAAAUAUGGAAAUAAUUUGAGGAGUUACUUACAUGGGACGUGAUGUGGUAAUUAUAAUAAGGUCACGCGUACCAUGUGUUGAUCGCUUACUCUGGCCAAGUAAGUAGUGAACACAUGAUAGCAUGAGCUUCUUAUAAUGAGCGCAGUUAUGUCCGAUGUAGUAAGGUCAAGAUGAAUGAAAAUUUAAAGGAUCCUUAGGGUCAAGAAAUCUUAUGGGCAUACUCGUAUAAAUGGUUUUCGCGGGAACCAUAAAAACGACGUAUGGCGCACAUAGAAAUAAAUGACCCAAGGAAAUUCGUGACAUAAGUCAUUUCGGACGAAACAACCAUGGUAGACAAAAAGGGCAUUGUAAAACCAAAGUAUAAAUGACCCGCGGGGUCAUAGAAACAAAGGUAUUGCCCACAUGGAAAAACGAUCAAAGUCGUUGACUUUGGUCGUAGUAAAGAAAUGAUGAUGAUGAUGAUAAUCAUCAUUCAUAGUUUAUAAGACUGUCAAGGAUGGUCGAAUAAAGAAUAAAGGUUUGGUUGAAUAAAAGUGAUGGAUUUCGCUAAGACAACCAAACAAAUUAAAACGAAAUCUUAAUGUAUACCGGAAUGCUUGCACUAAUAAUGACUUCGGUAAAGUACCCGGUUGAUGGGUAAGGAUUUAAACACAUGCGUAAACCGAGAAAUGGGAACACGAAUUUAAAGUCAAAAGACUCGGAUUAUGAGUUAUGACUGAAAGACCAUAAAAUUUUGCAAACAGAAAUUUUGAUAAUUAUAUUCAACUAUUUUGAGGUUGAACGGGUUGAAUAAAGUAUAAUGCUUGAUGGCAUAAGUAAGCGCAAGCCGGAUAACAGUAAGCUUGAGACAAACCGAUGCUUAAUUGACGUGAGAAGUCAUAGAGUCGGAAGAAUUAUCCAAAAGAAAACGAUUGUAGACACGAACUACAGUCAAAGUUAACGGAUUUCAAGCAUGAAAACAAAUGAUUUUCAAACAAAAAAAAGUGCUUUGACACCAAAUAUAUAUUUUAAUAAAGAUACGAGUAAAAAGAAUGAUCUACGGGAUCAUCAUAACCUUUAGGUUAUAAACAGUGUAAAGGUCUACGGGACCAAAAUGACCUACGGGUCAUGAAUAAAAAGGAAAAAGGAUCAUAAAGGACUCGCCUUAAAGAGGUGAGAGCCUAAAGAAAUAGCCUACGAGGCUAAGUGAAUGAACCUAUGGGUUAUCUAGACAUAGCGAGGGAACUGGUUGAGAAUCCCCGCGUAAAAUAAGAAUGAAAAAGAAUAAAUUCUUAAUUGUCAAUUUCUUGAUAUGAGUAAUUGACGAAAGUUAAAGAGAAGACGUUAAAUUAAACUUCAAGUUUUAGUGAGAAACAACGUUUUAACAAAUAUGAAUACUACAAGACGAUUUUGGAAAUAAAAAAAAUAUAUCAAAGAGUAUGGGUCUUAACAUCGAUAGGUUCAAGACGAUAUAUUCGAAAAAGUGGUAUUUUCGAAAAUGAAAGGUUGAUAUAAAUUAAACAUGACGUGACACGAUCACGGUUAAGAAAUGCAAUGUGAAGUGGAAUCACAUUAUCACCAGGCGAGCGGUAAAAAGCAACUGGACUAAUAAGUCUAGUUAGUGAGAUCGGUUAAGGAAAUUUAAGUAAGUUGGUUGCUUGUAAGCGGUGGAUUCAGUAUAACUGAACCGAAUAAAUGAAUUGGAAAAAAAAAGAAAUAGUUGCUAAAAGAGAAAGAUUUCACUAAAGACCUUUAAACGGAUCAAGGUAACGGAUUCACAAAGAGUUCGAUAAUAUAUGAAAGCGAUGGAUAUCGCUAAGUUAACUAACUAGUGGAAAUAACAAGAUUACGUUAUUUCAAGUUGCACUAUGUCGUAUGAGAUAUGUAGACAAUUAGUGACCAAAAAGAUGUUACCAUACCUAUAUGGUAAUACGAACAAUUGGUUAAAAGUAUAAGUAAUGUUUAAAAGAUAUCUCGUAAAAAAAAUACGUUGAGUUUAAACUCAAUGAGUUAUGUAAGAAAAGGUUUCGAGGAAGAAACCUCUUUAAGGGGGUAGACUUGUAACACCCCGAAAACGGGUUUGGUAAUCAAACCACGUUUAUACUAAAAGACGGGUAAAUUACCUUUAGUGGUAAAAGUAACCCGGCGAAUAUUAGGAUUCUUGAAUAAACAAGAACUUACUAACUAGGAAUUUUAACCUAGUUAGCUAAUAUUCUAGAAGUAACUUAUGAUAGGGUUAAAAACAACCAAAACUAUAUGUCAAACAAAAGAUGAGGGGCCUAAGUUGUAAGAAAUUGAAAUUAUAUUACUAAUUUUAAUAAAAAUCAAAACCAAACACCCAUUAAGGAUGUCUGGUCGUACAGGAAAGGGCAGGGGCGACUCCCCACUCUUCAAAACCCUAGAACUUCACUAAUCUUGCAAAUUGAAGGUCCAAUUCAGUCCAAAAUCGAAAUUUAAGCAUGGAUUAUUGAUCCUCAUCACAAGAGGAUUAAAAGGUAUGUAAAAUUUAAUGAAAAAUCUCUAGUUGGAUUUCUAGGUAAACUUAGAAAUCUGAAAUUUAUGGUUGCAUGUUCGUUAUAUGAUGAAAUUAGGAAUGAUUUUAUGUCUAGGAGUAAACCCUAGUCAUUUACUUGUUGAAUUGAUGUUCCUAAUUGUGAAUUCAUGAUCACCCGAUUAUGUGCUAAAUGGGUUUUGUAGAAACAUGAUGAACACUAGAAUCAUAAUGGUUAAAUUGUGUUAAUAGAACUCACUGAAGUUAGAUUUGAAGUUUGAUGUUAGUACUUGUUAAUUUUGCUAGAAUUUAAGGGUUUAGAACACUUAAAUGGGCUGGAGAAAUUUGAUGUUUCGUGUUGCACACAAGGUGCUUGUUAAAAUGCUUGAACAAGAAAAUAUAACAAAGCCGAUUGGAAAUAAAAUUAUUGGGCUGCAGUUUUAAAAAAAUCAUAUAAAAUUACUGGAACGGCCUGUGAGGUUGAGCCUUAUAUGCUCAGAAAGCUAUUAAAACAUACUACGUUUAAUGUUUGAACAUGUUUGUUAAAUUCUGAUGUUAAACGGGUCAAAACAGUGUCCGAAGUAGGCUGAACUGUUUUGACAGCAAGCUGAUUGGAAAAAAAAAAUUGUUGGGCUGCAGUUUUUAAAAAAUCAUAUAAAAUCACUGGAACAUCCUGUGAGGUUGAGCCUUAUAUGCUCAGAAAGCUAUUAAAACAUACUACGUUUUAUGUUUGGACAUGUUUGUUAAAUUCUGAUGUUAAACGGGUCAAAACAGUGUCCGAAGUCGGCUGAACUGUUUUGACAGCAAGCUGACAGGAAGCAUUUUUUUUUACUUCAGAGCUGAUUUUGUAAAAAUCAUAUAAAAUCAUAGGAACAUCGUUAGAAAACGUACCAUAUAUGCCUAGAAAGCUAUUUCAGAGUUUUACGAUCCGUUUUUGAACAUGUUGAUCUAAUUCAACUUUUAAAUGGGUCAAAAUGGUCAAUUACAGCAGCUGAAUACAAAAUCGCUGCACUUUAGUAAUGUUCUUAUUAACCAAGAAAAAGACAUAUGAUUGCGUAUACUUGUUUAGUCAUGAAGCAUUUAUUGUUAGGAACAAGUAACACUUUAUAUGACAUGCUUAAAGUGUUCAAAAUCACUUACUAACUAGUUUGUAUAAAUAAUUUGACUAACGGGUCAAACGGUUAGUGAAUGGAAAGAAUUAUGACAAAAAAAUAAAUAAGUAAAUAAUAUAGUUGUUGAAUAAAUAGCAUACUUUGGUGAAUAAGUGUGUGAAUCCAUAAGGUGUGAUGGUCAUGUUAAUGGUUGACUAAUCUAAUCAUCUUGUGGAUAUGAUAUGGUAGUUUGACUCUGACAAGCUAGGUAGGAGCUUGGAAAUGAACGGGUCAAAUGGAUACAAGUUCAAGUAUGAAGCUCGCAAGGAUGCAAGGUAAGUAUAACUUACACUAGUCAUAUAUUUUAAAAUGUUCUUUUGUCAUAUUGACUACGAAUAAGACAAAUGGUAAUUUAGUCACACGUUGACAAUAAUCGUUAGUUUUAAAAGACGCUUUCCCGCGAAAGACAUAAAGAGCCGAAAAUGGUAAUAAACGGUUUAUAAAUAAAAUGAGCAUACGGUGUUAAAAGGAGCGAGUCAUGUAGAUGAGAUGAUAAUAAAUAUUAUCUCGCAAAGAUAAACGGUCAAUUCGGCCAAACGGGUCAAAAGGUGUAGACAUCACCUUUUGACGAUAUCGACUAAUGAUUCUGGUGUCGAGUUAUAUGUUUACAGGAGUAGAUAUCCAAUGGAUACUCGCAUCGCUCUUAAUUAGCAAUUAUAAAGCAAGGUAUUAAACCGGGUUAGUAAGUUGAUCCGAGCCAGGUGAAUGUUGAGGGUCCCGGAUGAAGAUCGAGCAUCGAGCAAGAACCGAACACACACUAAAUAAAGCUUCCGCAACGUUGUUUUGUCGUUAUUCUAAACGGUGAUUUAAAUCACAUUAUGUAUAUCACUUAAAUUGUAAAAGUUUUUAAUAAACCCGCAUUUUGUACAGUAUGUGUGGUCUUAACUACACAUCUAAUUGUGGUAUUUUCAUGUAAAAUUGUAAUUUAGUAACUAGGGUGUUACAAGUUGGUAAUCAGAGCUCAUGGUUAAAGAUUAAGGUGUGUUCGGUUCGAGGCUUGAUCGCAAAUCCGGACACUCGCGUCUGAAGAUGACGAGAGUUGAACAAAUUGCGGAUAUGAUGAUGGAACGGUCCGAGAUGUGACAAGAAGAGCAUACUCAUCAAGGACCUAAAUCGCGUAACGAUCGCAAAUAAGUAAUGGCAAGGAAUGCCCGUCGGGGCAAGCAUUACCAGGUGCACAUUUUAAACUUAUAGUACAAAAAGUAAUAUGCAACAAAUACAUAGUGAAUGACAGUUGCAUAUAGAAUAUGAAACUUGGAAAACCUGGAUAGGUUACCUAUCCAGGAUGACGUUUCCAAGAGAAAUUCAGUAGAGAAUAUGUAUUAUUCACAAAUUGUGAAUAACAAGACAAUAACAAAAUUCAGUUUAUAUAGAAACUUGGACGAGAGUGAUCAUCCAAGUAAGUAUUCUCAAUAUAAAUCCUAUUGAGAAAAGUAAUGAUCACAUCAACAAAUGUAAAUAAAUGUUUAUAAAAAGGGACAUUUUACAUGUUCAAGGAUAAACGACUAAAACUAAUAAUUGUUAACUAACAAUUAAAUAAAGUUUUACCAAAUGAAAUCAUAAAUAUGGAAAUAAUUUGAGGAGUUACUUACAUGGGACGUGAUGUGGUAAUUAUAAUAAGGUCACGCGUACCAUGUGUUGAUCGCUUACUCUGGCCAAGUAAGUAGUGAACACAUGAUAGCAUGAGCUUCUUAUAAUGAGCGCAGUUAUGUCCGAUGUAGUAAGGUCAAGAUGAAUGAAAAUUUAAAGGAUCCUUAGGGUCAAGAAAUCUUAUGGGCAUACUCGUAUAAAUGGUUUUCGCGGGAACCAUAAAAACGACGUAUGGCGCACAUAGAAAUAAAUGACCCAAGGAAAUUCGUGACAUAAGUCAUUUCGGACGAAACAACCAUGGUAGACAAAAAGGGCAUUGUAAAACCAAAGUAUAAAUGACCCGCGGGGUCAUAGAAACAAAGGUAUUGCCCACAUGGAAAAACGAUCAAAGUCGUUGACUUUGGUCGUAGUAAAGAAAUGAUGAUGAUGAUGAUAAUCAUCAUUCAUAGUUUAUAAGACUGUCAAGGAUGGUCGAAUAAAGAAUAAAGGUUUGGUUGAAUAAAAGCGAUGGAUUUCGCUAAGACAACCAAACAAAUUAAAACGAAAUCUUAAUGUAUACCGGAAUGCUUGCACUAAUAAUGACUUCGGUAAAGUACCCGGUUGAUGGGUAAGGAUUUAAACACAUGCGUAAACCGAGAAACGGGAACACGAAUUUAAAGUCAAAAGACUCGGAUUAUGAGUUAUGACUGAAAGACCAUAAAAUUUUGCAAACAGAAAUUUUGAUAAUUAUAUUCAACUAUUUUGAGGUUGAACGGGUUGAAUAAAGUAUAAUGCUUGAUGGCAUAAGUAAGCGCAAGCCGGAUAACAGUAAGCUUGAGACAAACCGAUGCUUAAUUGACGUGAGAAGUCAUAGAGUCGGAAGAAUUAUCCGAAAGAAAACGAUUGUAGACACGAACUACAGUCAAAGUUAACGGAUUUCAAGCAUGAAAACAAAUGAUUUUCAAACAAAAAAAAAAGUGCUUUGACACCAAAUAUAUAUUUUAAUAAAGAUACGAGUAAAAAGAAUGAUCUACGGGAUCAUCAUAACCUUCAGGUUAUAAACAGUGUAAAGGUCUACGGGACCAAAAUGACCUACGGGUCAUGAAUAAAAAGGAAAAAGGAUCAUAAAGGACUCGCCUUAAAGAGGUGAGAGCCUAAAGAAAUAGCCUACGAGGCUAAGUGAAUGAACCUAUGGGUUAUCUAGACAUAGCGAGGGAACUGGUUGAGAAUCCCCGCGUAAAAUAAGAAUGAAAAAGAAUAAAUUCUUAAUUGUCAAUUUCUUGAUAUGAGUAAUUGACGAAAGUUAAAGAGAAGACGUUAAAUUAAACUUCAAGUUUUAGUGAGAAACAACGUUUUAACAAAUAUGAAUACUACAAGACGAUUUUGGAAAUAAAAAAAAUAUAUCAAAGAGUAUGGGUCUUAACAUCGAUAGGUGCAAGACGAUAUAUUCGAAAAAGUGGUAUUUUCGAAAAUGAAAGGUUGAUAUAAAUUAAACAUGACGUGACACGAUCACGGUUAAGAAAUGCAAUGUGAAGUGGAAUCACAUUAUCACCAGGCGAGCGGUAAAAAGCAACUGGACUAAUAAGUCUAGUUAGUGAGAUCGGUUAAGGAAAUUUAAGUAAGUUGGUUGCUUGUAAGCGGUGGAUUCAGUAUAACUGAACCGAAUAAAUGAAUUGGAAAACAAAAGAAAUAGUUGCUAAAAGAGAAAGAUUUCACUAAAGACCUUUAAACGGGUCAAGGUAACGGAUUCACAAAGAUGUCACAAGUUCGAUAAUAUAUGAAAGCGAUGGAUAUCGCUAAGUUAACUAACUAGUGGAAAUAACAAGAUUACGUUAUUUCAAGUUGCACUAUGUCGUAUGAGAUAUGUAGACAAUUAGUGACCAAAAAGAUGUUACCAUACCUAUAUGGUAAUACGAACAAUUGGUUAAAAGUAUAAGUAAUGUUUAAAAGAUAUCUCGUAAAAAAAAUACGUUGAGUUUAAACUCAAUGAGUUAUGUAAGAAAAGGUUUCGAGGAAGAAACCUCUUUAAGGGGGUAGACUUGUAACACCCCGAAAACGGGUUUGGUAAUCAAACCACGUUUAUACUAAAAGACGGGUAAAUUACCUUUAGUGGUAAAAGUAACCCAGCGAAUAUUAGGAUUCUUGAAUAAACAAGAACUUACUAACUAGGAAUUUUAACCUAGUUAGCUAAUAUUCUAGAAGUAACUUAUGAUAGGGUUAAAAACAACCAAAACUAUAUGUCAAACAAAAGAUGAGGGGCCUAAGUUGUAAGCAAUUGAAAUUAUAUUACUAAUUUUAAUAAAAAUCAAAACCAAACACCCAUUAAGGAUGUCUGGUCGUACAGGAAAGGGCAGGGGCGACUCCCCACUCUUCAAAACCCUAGAACUUCACUAAUCUUGCAAAUUGAAGGUCCAAUUCAGUCCAAAAUCGAAAUUUAAGCAUGGAUUAUUGAUCCUCAUCACAAGAGGAUUAAAAGGUAGGAGCUUGGAAAUGAACGGGUCAAAUGGAUACAAGUUCAAGUAUGAAGCUCGCAAGGAUGCAAGAACUCACUGAAGUUAGAUUUGAAGUUAAUCUCUUUCAAGUACAAACAAACGACAAAAGUUAAGCGAUUUUUGGAAGAGUGGAAGAUGGAUAAGGAAGAUUUCUUGGAUGACAAUUGAAGACCAAUGUUUUUUUUGUUUUGAUGUAAUUGGUUGUGAUUUUGGUUGUUUGUGUUGAACUCUUUAGUGGUAUGCCACUAAGAGAACUAGAGGGUAUUUUCAGCCUUGUACUUGUAUUUUGUUGAUAUUUAUAAAAAUCACCGGGGUAACCCUUUAC
RNAcentral lists this long non-coding RNA (10409 nucleotides) under Helianthus annuus (common sunflower). RNAcentral's name for it is "hypothetical non coding rna". The record is from RNAcentral. Lineage: Eukaryota; Viridiplantae; Streptophyta; Magnoliopsida; Asterales; Asteraceae.